Molecule: ribosomal RNA, 795 nt
Filed under: uncultured marine thaumarchaeote
Lineage: Archaea; Thermoproteati; Nitrososphaerota
Description: bacterial SSU rRNA
Rfam family: Archaeal small subunit ribosomal RNA
Source: RNAcentral
CGGCUGCUCAGUAACACGUAGUCAACCUAACCUAUGGACGGGAAUAACCUCGGGAAACUGAGAAUAAUGCCCGAUAGAACACUAUACCUGGAAUGGUUUGUGUUCCAAAUGAUUUAUCGCCGUAGGAUGGGACUGCGGCCUAUCAGUUUGUUGGUGAGGUAAUGGCCCACCAAGACUAUUACAGGUACGGGCUCUGAGAGGAGUAGCCCGGAGAUGGGUACUGAGACACGGACCCAGGCCCUAUGGGGCGCAGCAGGCGAGAAAACUUUGCAAUGUGCGAAAGCACGACAAGGUUAAUCCGAGUGGUUUCUGCUAAAGGAACCUUUUGUUAGUCCUAGAAACACUAACGAAUAAGGGGUGGGCAAGUUCUGGUGUCAGCCGCCGCGGUAAAACCAGCACCUCAAGUGGUCAGGAUGAUUAUUGGGCCUAAAGCAUCCGUAGCCGGCUCUGUAAGUUUUCGGUUAAAUCUGUACGCUCAACGUACAGGCUGCCGGGAAUACUGCAGAGCUAGGGAGUGGGAGAGGUAGACGGUACUCGGGAGGAAGUGGUAAAAUGCUUUGAUCUCUCGAUGACCACCUGUGGCGAAGGCGGUCUACCAGAACACGUCCGACGGUGAGGGAUGAAAGCUGGGGGAGCAAACCGGAUUAGAUACCCGGGUAGUCCCAGCUGUAAACUAUGCAAACUCAGUGAUGCAUCGGCUUGUGGCCAAUGCAGUAUUGCAGGGAAGCCGUUAAGUUUGCCGCCUGGGAAGUACGUACGCAAGUAUGAAACUUAAAGGAAUUGGCGGGGGAGCAG